UGGGGAAUAUUGGACAAUGGGCGAAAGCCUGAUCCAGCCAUGCCGCGUGUGUGAAGAAGGUCUUCGGAUUGUAAAGCACUUUAAGUUGGGAGGAAGGGCAUUAACCUAAUACGUUAGUGUUUUGACGUUACCGACAGAAUAAGCACCGGCUAACUCUGUGCCAGCAGCCGCGGUAAUACAGAGGGUGCAAGCGUUAAUCGGAAUUACUGGGCGUAAAGCGCGCGUAGGUGGUUUGUUAAGUUGGAUGUGAAAUCCCCGGGCUCAACCUGGGAACUGCAUUCAAAACUGACUGACUAGAGUAUGGUAGAGGGUGGUGGAAUUUCCUGUGUAGCGGUGAAAUGCGUAGAUAUAGGAAGGAACACCAGUGGCGAAGGCGACCACCUGGACUAAUACUGACACUGAGUUGCGAAAGCGUGGGGAGCAAACA
Molecule: ribosomal RNA, 427 nt
Filed under: uncultured bacterium
Lineage: Bacteria
Description: partial 16S ribosomal RNA
Rfam family: Bacterial small subunit ribosomal RNA
Source: RNAcentral